Molecule: transfer RNA, 67 nt
Filed under: Trapelus mutabilis pallidus
Lineage: Eukaryota; Metazoa; Chordata; Lepidosauria; Squamata; Agamidae
Description: Alanine tRNA
Rfam family: tRNA
About the family: Transfer RNA (tRNA) molecules are approximately 80 nucleotides in length. Their secondary structure includes four short double-helical elements and three loops (D, anti-codon, and T loops).
Source: RNAcentral
UAGGCUUUAGUUUAAUUAAAAUAUCUGAGUUGCAAUCAGAUGAUGUAGGAUUAUCUUGCAAGUCUUG